GGCUUAGUGCUCGCUACCAGAAUUGCAGCGAUGCAUGGGAGAUCAUCACGGCCCUGCAAAGGGAUGACAUGCAAAUUUGUGAAACAUUCCAUGUUUU
Molecule: small nuclear RNA, 97 nt
Filed under: Mus pahari (shrew mouse)
Lineage: Eukaryota; Metazoa; Chordata; Mammalia; Rodentia; Muridae
Description: predicted gene, 25768 (MGP_PahariEiJ_G0033259.1)
Source: RNAcentral